GCAAAACAGCUACACGAGGCAUCCUCGAAUCGAAACAUCCUACGAGGCGUGUGCCACUACAGCAAUAUUCGAUAGAUCGAUCGAUUCAUGGAAAAUUAUUUCGCAUCUAAUGGCAGCCAGACACGAAUCUGAUCCAACCUAUAAAGUCGUUCGUUUCUUCUUUGUUAUAUAUGCAAUAAAAAAAAUUCGUUGUCCGAUCGAGAUGGAGAGUUACGCCUACAGGAAAAACUUACUGAGAUUUCGUUAUGACGUUCUUGACAUUGAUACGAGCCAUACUUAGAGCUAAGUAAUUUUUUAAACCCGUAAAUGUUGUUGCCGCGAGAAAUUAAUCGUUUACUUAUCUUUACCGUCAGGCAGGAAAUCUAUCAUUAAGUUUACCAGUUUGUACGAAUGCCAUUAUAUUAGCUGAUCGGUUGGAUCAACAUUUUAUCGUUAAUUGCUAUAAUGUUGGCUAUAACAUGAACUUUGUUAUAGUAUCGUUACAACUAUGUAACUUCUUUACAAUACAUACAUCUAAUAUACACGUGACAGUAUCGAUACAUAAUGUCAGAAUACGAGACGCGUUCGAGUUGCAUUUUUUUAUAUAUUUUCAACGCUUCUGCGCAUUCGCACUCCUAAGAUAACCGUUGAUUUAUUGUGCUUGCAAAAUCAAGAUAUUACUCUAUUUCGAUCAAGUUGAGCGAAUAGACAUCGACCAAACUUUAGAUACUCUACUGUCGCUCUUUUGUGCGAUUUAUCAAUUACAGUGUCGUUAUUAUUGCAUUUAUUAUAACAUUUACGUACUAUUAGUAUCGCCCAUUUUCCUGUGAAAAAUUGAUUUUACGAAAAGAAUGUAAAACUUGAUAAAAAAAAUAUUUUUUGUAGAUAAGAAGCGAGCAAGGAUUUACUCGGUGCAUGAAAAUUAUUUCUCCUGCAGGAUGCAUAAUAUAUCACGAAUAAUUUAUUGUCGUAAAGAUACAAUAAUCUUUCCGAACCGGUUCUAUGUUUUAAUUUAUCCAAGGUCUCUGGAUUCGAAAACAAAUUAAAUUCCACAAUUUUCAUUUUAUCGAGCAAGAUCUUUCGAGCUAAGAUUAAACCGUAAUAUUAGCAAACAAAUGUGCAUUUUAUUUAAGUUUGACGUUUUUCCAUCAUGGUUGUAGACGUAUUAGCGAUGAUUAUGUAUAUAAAUAUCCAUAAAGAUCAAUAGGUAUUCUUUUCUUAAAAUAAAAUGCUGAAAAUUUUCAGAAUUGUAUAUAUUAAGAAAUAAAUAUUUUAUUUAAAUGAAUGUAAAUGUUAUAGGCGAUAAUCGCAUCGUAAAUAGAACCAUUUGUUUCCAUAUUAAUACCGCGUUAAUAUGAAUUGUAUAUUCCUUUAACGAAUUAUUCACAAUAACGUGCAAUGCAAAAAUUACCGUGACCGAUUUCAUUUGGACAUUGCGUGAAAUUUUCUGCCGCUAGAUCGUCUUCUAAUAUUAUUAAUUCUUCUUGUACAAAUCUUAAAUUCAAAAUUAACAAAAUCUUUAACUUAUUAUACCGCUGUGGAACGAAAUAUUUAUAAAUCUCUGUAAUAAGCGUUCAAGCGUGUUAAUUCAAAAUAUAUCAGGAAACUUGUAUUUGUUCAUGCGCUCGCCAAUGGUUGAAAUUAAUUAAAGAUUUCUCCAACAACUUAUUACGAGAGAUAAUAUUUUUCCUUUGCGAAAUAGCCAUAACUUAGAAUCGAUCGCGUUUAUCUUUAUUAAGUAAAAAGAUAAUCAACAAAUCAAGUUACAUAGAGAUUCUAAAUAUACAACACAUUCCGAUCGACAUACGACAAGGACAAUUAAAUAAAUUAUCAACUCAUCUGUGCGUCAUUCAGGAUCAAUAUCUAAAUCACUUUCACGAUAAAGUUGGAAUGUACUCCUGUAUUCUUUUUUAUUAGCGAAACCAGUUCCGUGGAUGUUUGUUUCUUCGCUCCACGACCCUGAACUCGACCACGAUUGCAACGAACUUGCCCAGACCUAACGUUAAGGAUCGCACAAGUAUAAAUACUUCAAAUAUGUAUGAGGUCGUAGGUGAAUACAUCAGAUCCUCCUUCUACGGCACUACCGUCCGUUUAUGUGACACCGUAUCGUCGUCAGUACGAACAGCAUUAGACAGAGACAUUGAUAUUGCGCGCAAAUGUACGGCAUUAGAAAGAGGCAGCAAUAUUUUGGGAAAAGCAUGGAAUAUGAUAAAUGGCAUUAGAAAGUGGUGGCGAUUUUGCGCGAAUGGGACGGACGUCCGACUAUUAUAUUUGCUUUUCUUCCUCUAUGUUGGCGCGAAUGUCAAGGAUGUCAAGGAUUUCAAGGACCGAUGGAAGACGCUGCUAAGGAUAAAUGAGAAGGGUUCGGAUUAGAAAACUGAUGUAUUCUACAUUACGUUAUUGGACAUAAAUAUUUCUUAUUCUCGCUAUUAUAAUUGAUAUACGUUUGCCUAUUUAUUAUAUUAUAUGUAAGGAGCUGCAGUCUCAUUCGCUACGCACUAACUAAUUUUAAUAUCGUACAAUAAUAAACACAGUAAACGAACUGCU
This is a long non-coding RNA of Bombus terrestris (buff-tailed bumblebee), 2526 nucleotides long. RefSeq lists it as uncharacterized. The record is from RefSeq and is a predicted model, not a curated record. The transcript has 2 exons. Lineage: Eukaryota; Metazoa; Arthropoda; Insecta; Hymenoptera; Apidae.